Molecule: non-coding RNA, 70 nt
Filed under: pig gut metagenome
Description: Glycine riboswitch
Rfam family: Glycine riboswitch aptamer
About the family: This family represents the bacterial glycine riboswitch. Glycine riboswitches usually consist of two metabolite-binding aptamers domains with similar structures in tandem.
Source: RNAcentral
GAAUCGGGAGAGACCGCCCAGGUGGCGCCGAAGGGGAACGCAGAAGCUCUCAGGCAAAAGGACCGAUUUC